Molecule: ribosomal RNA, 805 nt
Filed under: Streptomyces sp.
Lineage: Bacteria; Bacillati; Actinomycetota; Actinomycetes; Kitasatosporales; Streptomycetaceae
Description: bacterial SSU rRNA
Rfam family: Bacterial small subunit ribosomal RNA
Source: RNAcentral
CGAUGAAGCCCUUCGGGGUGGAUUAGUGGCGAACGGGUGAGUAACACGUGGGCAAUCUGCCCUGCACUCUGGGACAAGCCCUGGAAACGGGGUCUAAUACCGGAUACGACUUUCGGAGGCAUCUCUGAAGGUGGAAAGCUCCGGCGGUGCAGGAUGAGCCCGCGGCCUAUCAGCUUGUUGGUGGGGUGAUGGCCUACCAAGGCGACGACGGGUAGCCGGCCUGAGAGGGCGACCGGCCACACUGGGACUGAGACACGGCCCAGACUCCUACGGGAGGCAGCAGUGGGGAAUAUUGCACAAUGGGCGAAAGCCUGAUGCAGCGACGCCGCGUGAGGGAUGACGGCCUUCGGGUUGUAAACCUCUUUCAGCAGGGAAGAAGCGAAAGUGACGGUACCUGCAGAAGAAGCGCCGGCUAACUACGUGCCAGCAGCCGCGGUAAUACGUAGGGCGCAAGCGUUGUCCGGAAUUAUUGGGCGUAAAGAGCUCGUAGGCGGCUUGUCGCGUCGGAUGUGAAAGCCCGGGGCUUAACCCCGGGUCUGCAUUCGAUACGGGCAGGCUAGAGUUCGGUAGGGGAGAUCGGAAUUCCUGGUGUAGCGGUGAAAUGCGCAGAUAUCAGGAGGAACACCGGUGGCGAAGGCGGAUCUCUGGGCCGAUACUGACGCUGAGGAGCGAAAGCGUGGGGAGCGAACAGGAUUAGAUACCCUGGUAGUCCACGCCGUAAACGUUGGGAACUAGGUGUGGGCGACAUUCCACGUCGUCCGUGCCGCAGCUAACGCAUUAAGUUCCCCGCCUGGGGAGUACGGCC